CUGCUUUCUGUGCUGUGGCAGACAUAAGCCUAAAAGAAGAGCAAUUAGUAAUAAAAUCCAUCAGGGUGUUUUUAAGAACCGAGAAGCUUCCCCAGGUGGACUUCCCAGCAGAUUUGCCUUCCACCCUCGCCUUGCCCCAGCCCUCCUUCACAUGCUCCUGGCCGGGCAUCGCCUGCAAGGCACAGGGAGAGCUGCAGCCCCGGUGCAUCGCUUGUGCAAGGACGAGGCAGAACUCGCUGUGCCUCCCUCCCUGCGGGAUGCGCUUCCUCCCAAGGAAAUCCCCCACUGCGAGGCAUCCUGGGAGCCCAGCCCUGCGGAUUUUAAAAGGCAGCCAGAAAGCGCUGCCUGGUACCGGAGGACACCUACGGGUGUUGAGAAAGCCCUCGGAAAGAAGCAAACGUUUCAGUUAGGGAUAAGGAGAAGAAAAACGCAGUCCUUCCCACUCCUCGGCUCUGUGGUUUGUCUGAGCUCACUUCCUUGGGAUACAUCAGGGUUUGAUCUGUAAAAAGAGAUAUCUAAAAACGUGUAAAAUCUUAACUGUUCUGGUGAUAGCAGCGUAAUCUGCCUUUGAUCACGUAAAUUGUCAAAGCACAGCUCUAUCUGCUGCCCAGGGACUGCAGGAAAUGCACAGGCACUUACGCAAAUGCAUAGAGAAGGGGAUGCUUUGCAGGGCUGGUGGGCUGGGGGGGAGAUGGCUCUUGCUGGAGCUUUUGGUUCGUGGAUCAUGGCUGGAUGGUUUGGCAAACCUGGCUCUCCCAUGUCACUGUUCUGCAAGUUCCCAGGGCUCCUGUUCCUGCUGUGACUGUGUCUGCGAACUGCUCACAGCCCAGUUGUGCAAUCCUUGGGUGCUGGGAGGUUUCCAUAGCUCUUUUCAUGAACACUGGUGGCAUUUACCAGCAGAGUCAGCAAGCUGGGUUCUUUGGCUGUGUUUUUUCUCCAAAUAGCCACAGGGACUGCAGUGUUCAUGUUUUGCCUCUAAAUCCCCAUGACUUUGGCCAGUUAAGGGAUAUUUGCACAUGGGUGGGUGAAUCUGACAGCAAGAGACAAAACAAUUUCUUUGAGAACCUUGAGGGGAGCCAAGGCUGCACCAGAGCCUGACCAGGGCAGGAGGCAGCAGCAGCACAGCGGGGCACAACCCGCAGCUGGGGAGCUGUCAGGCAGGACUUUAACUCCGUGCAAAAUGGGAAUUUUCCUCUUUCCCAGAUUUGCAAAAGAUUUUGCAAACCCUCGUGAGAGACAGUUUGGGUAUAGCAUAGGAGUGCAUCCAUCACUGCGUUCACAACAACCGCACUUCGUAGCACUUAAACCAGAUCCUUUCCCUCUCCUUUAUUAUGUUUGGUGCACAAGAUGAGUGACAAGACACUGGACUCUGGUACUUCACCUGACUUGCUUUAAUUUGCACGUUGAAGGACCUGCAGAAAGCUGUCAAGAGAGCAGGAUGAGCCCUCCAUUACUUGGUUACACCAACAAGACUCCUCUGGCAGCUGUGCCAUGCUAUGCCUGAGGAUGCAACCUGCUUUUAGGGCAGGCUCCAUCAUUUUUCCUAGGCUGCGAGUGUUGCACAGGUGCAGAACAGCUUGCAGAGGAAUGUGGGGCAGCGCUACCGAAACUGGGUGCAAGUUUGUUGUGCUGGCUUUGUUUGUUUUUUUCACCUCAGCGAUAAUUCUUAACCAGCGUGCAAUCUCUGUUCUAUGUACUUUACAACUCCUCGUGAUUUACUGUGAUAAUCGAGAACUUAAAACAGAAGCCCGGCCCUGAACCUUUUCACUACAAGGAAAACAAGACCUUUGCACUGUCGGCUGAGCUCAGAGCCUCCAUCCAUGGCUCAGCCUCUUCUCAGGUGCAAAGAGCCCCAAAGUCCACGGAAGUCAUGCUGGUGGCAGAGUGUUUUUCACUGAAGUAGGCGGAGACCGAGCGCUUUACUAUGACACGAGAUCUCUCCUGUCGGCCUGCUUGUAAAAAAAAAAAGAGAGAAGAGAAGGCACCCAACUGGUGGAAACAAGAGUAUAAAUGCCAGGAUCACCAACAACAUGCUGCCCAUGGCUCAAAGUACAAUCCGUGAUGGGUAGGUGCUGAAACAUUAACCAGACCUUGGGAAAGCGUCUGUAGUUGCCGCUUCGUGUCCACAGCAGCCCUCUGGCAAGCCGGGAGCGAGGGCUGUGCUGUUGCUGUGCCGGGAGAAAGGGCACGGCAGUGUUUGCGCAGCGCAGCUGGACCCGCCGGCGAUGGCCCCACAGGGUGUGCAUGUGUGGGGUGGUGUCAGGGGCUGUAGUGAAAAGUUACGAGAUUUUCCAGAGGGGGCCAGCACCCUGAGCCUCCCCAGAUGAGCUGCAGGUUGUGGGAAGCAUGAAUAGUUUACGAAAUUGAGGGCUGCAAUGGCCAAGGGAGAAGGGGGAUACUGGGGAUGCUUUUGGGCUCACACCUUGGAAGGUCUGGAUCUGGGUGGUGGAUUUAGUAUUUAUAUUCUGCAUUUAUUUAUUUUUGCCGCUGGUGAGCUGUGCUGGCAAUGAAGCGAGGAGGCACAACAAGCCAGCAGCCGUUCUCGACUGCGCAAGCAUUGUAAUUGCUGCUCCCUGAACUCAUCUGACACCAGGUACGGGCAAACAUCCCUCGCCGCCCGGAUGGGUGACAGUACAUAAAUCUUGGGAGCACUCUUGGGAAUAAUGAGCCUUUUCCAACUCUGCCUUUGAAGUCCGAAGAAGUUGUGUGUGCUUGGUUGAUAGACGGUGGCCCGGCGUGGCCCGGCUGUGCGUGGUGGUGCAGCACAGCUCCCAGGGCCUUGUCCUCACCCAGAGGAGGGGACAGCCGAGCUCGACACUCUCAGCUGUAGAAGCUGUCACCUCCUUCCCGAACGUGAUACCGCCAGCAGGGAGCUGGCCUGCAGUGUUUUCUGAAGCUUGGUGCUGGGCCAAAAGCCAUUCUGCAGUGCCCGCCCCUGCCAUAUAGGUGUGUAAUAUUAACUCACCUGGUUUCCGCUGCGGGCUCCUCCACAGCUGCUAACGUAUCUCCACGUGUUAUCAGUACGUCUCUGCUACAGACUUCCUCAGUCUGGGUUUAAGGGACAACAUGUUCCUGUUCGGGAGAAGCAAGGGGAUGUCCUGCCCUGCUCGUGCUGAAUCACUCUUACCUGGCAAGGGCUGGCAGAACGGCGAGGCCAUGUUUUAUUGUAGUGUACUACAGCUGCAGAAAAAGUGUUGGAUUUGGGGUUUUUAUCGGACGACUAUUUCCUGAUCAGGUUGAUGAAGUCUUUAGGUGGAAGACUUUGCCUUCACAUCUCUUUGUCAAACAAUCGCUCUCCGAGUAGUGAUAAAAGAACAAACAUGCUCAAUUACGACGCUUUAAAUCAUACAAGCCAUUUCCAAAGACAAAUAACAAGAUCACAGCAGGUGAGUUUUCUUUUAGCAAACACCACAAGACACAAACCAUCAACAUUCACACGGUGUUCAGCCCACCACAAUGCAGCCUCUCCAGCUGGGUCUUUGGAGGCGCACUAGUAGGAAUAUUAAACCCCACUGAAUACCUUCUCAUGAUAUUCAUAAUUUAACCCCAACCGUGCACGUGUGUGACCAAUACCGUGGACUGUGACUGCGGGGCACCAGAGCCAACCCCCCAGUGAUGCUGAGGACUGUGCCACAACUCCUGCUCAGCCCCUGCUCCGCACACCAUGCUUGUGCCGUGGUGGCUGGAGCCCUCUUAGGUGCUGUCAAUAUUCUCAGAAGCAACUUCUUAGAAGGAGCAAUGUGGGAAUAAGUGUGUUACUGUGUGAGCUGUCAGCAGAUGUGCAAAGGACUUUUUGUAUUGAAAAGGAAAAGAAAAAAAAAAAGCAUUAAAAACACCAUUGCCAUGUUGCCCUCUGGGUUUACACAAAUGUGGCACAGAGAAGAAUUAGGCUUUUGCAGUUUCAUGUUUCCUUGACCUUUUGAGAGAGGAAUUAAAAAUCGGAUCCAACUUCUGCUCCAAGUUACAAUGCUGAAAGUCCAGAGCAAAUAUAAUGUACUGGCCCCUGAGGUGUGGGAGCAGAAUUUCAUCUUGCCUUCUGAAAAACCUGAGAGAGAGCUGAGGUAUAAAGAGGCUCAAAUAAAAGCUGGAUCAUCUGAGUGCUAAACCUCUCUCCCAGGUGGGUGCAAUUACUGGUGUGUAAGCAGAUUCCUUCACCUGCUCUGGUGGGGUUUCUGACUUGGGAUCAGUGCAAGGUAAGGAGAAAAUACACGUCUCCUCCAGCAUGAUGUCUGCUCACAGUGUGACGAGGAGCGUGCCGUGGGAAGAAGCUCGCAGCCAGCAGCAUCCCUGCUGUGACUCAGCUGCUGGAGCCCGGCGGUGCUGGCCGUGCCUGCUGCAGCAGCAGCAGAGAGGCAGGCAGAGCUGCUGUGCCAGCACCCAUGUCGCUUGACACUUAGAAAGCCCUCGGACCAUUAACACUAAGCUCAUGCAUGCUGCAUGACAUGAAAACAUUUCCAGUUAAAGAUCAUUUCAGACUGUCGUUAUAUUGACUUACGCAAAUGUUGACAAACAAAAUCUGCUUGGAUUAUGCUCUAACGACAAGCUCUGCGUGCUUCAACAGGUUUUCUUUGUUUUGGCUUGGUUUCUUGUAUUUAUUUUCAGCCGUUCACUGCUAAGACGUAUUUUUGUUCUGAGAGGACAAAUGCAGCGGGGGGUUGCUUCCUACCUGGAAUCUCGACAUUGCCUGGGAGAAGCUGGCUGCCACGAAUCAUCACAGGCAAAAUGCUGUACAGCACACACAUAGCUUUUUUUUUUUUUUUUUUUUUUCCCUUUUGGAGACAAGCACGUGGCUAUUAAACAAAGGACAAGAAGUGAGGGGAGUACACUGCAAUUUGCUAAUGUGUGGCUGGGUUCCCAGUUCCCUGUGCAUUCCUGCAGCCAGACUGCAGUCGUCAUGAUGCUAUUGCCAGGAAAGAUGUAAACAAAAGGAAACUCUCUCUGUCAGUUGAAGCAUUAGGUUAAUCGUGCAAAACAAUACUUUGUAGUCAUUGAGGUCGAGCCAUAUGCUCCCUAGUUAUCAUAGAUGUUAUUCGCUCUAUACAGAUAUACUGCUUCAUUGGCAUAAAGGACCAGGUUUUUACAUCUCUUUAAAUCACAGCAGUAUUUACUAUGUGGUGAGUCAGGGCACUGAGCAAGGCCAUUGGACCCUGUCAUGUAGGACUGUGACUUAAAAUUCAGGUGCUUUAGGCACAGCUCUUUUGGGAUCACUUGGAGAUUGGCAGAGAAACGUUUUUCUGUUGAAGUAGUUAAACGAUCAUCUUUAUGCCUCAGUCAAAUUUCACAACUGGAAAUUAUUCUGGGGUGAAGUCUCCUUUUUUUUUUUUCCUGACACUGCAAUCACAACUGCGAAACUUCACUUAAAAUCAAAGGCCGGUGUUUAUUCUGGGUUAAAACAGCUGCUAGCGAGAUGGGAACAAGACUCAGACUCUUCUUUCCCACCAUGAGGGCUUACACAAGAGCAGUGACAGCCAUGAACUGACCUGGAACUUUUAACUCACAUUAUUUGUGUUAAACCUGUGCCAUGUCCUCCUCUAAUCGGUGUCUUUUCAGCUGUGUGUGAUGGAGCCCUGCCCUGUGCAAGCCCUGGUGUUGUCCAGGGACUUGCAUCUCCUGUGUCUUCAGCUGGGGUUUAGAGAGCUGCUUGGGAGCAUGAUGUUGCCCCAACAUGUUUGAGACUUGCAAACUGCAUGGUGUACAUAGUAGUCGUGGUGGUACUGAUGCCCUGGGAAGGGAUGUCAGAUACUCAGAAACUAUUUAAUGAAAUUUUGCUCCACGACGGGAAGGAAUUUCCCCUUCAGCUGUUGCUACAGACUGUAACAGCAAAUGCUUUUUUCACAGAUUGAAUUAUUGCAGUUUUAAUUAUGGUGUCAACCCUCUUCUGCCCCAUCCUUCUUCUUUCCACUUUCUCCUUCCCUAGGGCCACUGGUGGGACUCCCUGCUGCAGCUCUCAGUGCCGCAGCCUGUGUUGUCCGUGCUUGUUUUGCCCCAGUACCAAGGCUGAAUGCCAUGGCAGUUUUGCUGCAUCGCCUGUGAACUGCCUGGACAGUGUCAAUCUUUUACCUUUCACUGUCAGCGGUUGUGUAGAGAGAUGAGGAAUGACACACACAUAGGUGGAACGGAUAUCUCCAUCUCCCCUUAGGGCUAGGGUAGAUAUGAUUUGCCAGACCUAGCUACAAAUUGAAGAAGUCUCAGUAUUUUAUUUUAUUUUUUCCAUGUGAUAGGAAAGUUUUCUUCCUAAGACCAGCAAAACAACUGGAGCACCCUGACUUAUUACCAUGAACACUUGUUUCACCACCUUCCCCCACCCAAAAAAAAAAAACAAAAAAACGAAAA
Molecule: non-coding RNA, 6333 nt
Organism: Anas platyrhynchos (mallard)
Lineage: Eukaryota; Metazoa; Chordata; Aves; Anseriformes; Anatidae
Source: RefSeq, a predicted model, not a curated record